GCCGAAGUGGUGGAAUUGGUAGACACGCUAUCUUGAGGGGGUAGUGGCCACUGGCCGUGCCGGUUCAAGUCCGGCCUUCGGCACCA
This 86-nucleotide transfer RNA is filed under the name Gammaproteobacteria bacterium. RNAcentral's name for it is "tRNA-Leu". It matches the Rfam family "tRNA". Rfam says of the family: Transfer RNA (tRNA) molecules are approximately 80 nucleotides in length. The record is from RNAcentral. Lineage: Bacteria; Pseudomonadati; Pseudomonadota; Gammaproteobacteria. RNAcentral also lists the same sequence under 1 other name.